UAAAAUGACUUUAAAAUAAAGUAAAGCCACAUAAUCAGGGUUUCCCCAGAGUUUUAUAAGCCUGGCGGGCCACCAGGCUUUACUUGCCCACCCACCAGGCUAAGCAUUGCUUUUCUGUUCAAGUUUU
This is a long non-coding RNA of Poecilia latipinna (sailfin molly), 127 nucleotides long. RefSeq lists it as uncharacterized. NCBI's taxonomy places the organism in Eukaryota, Metazoa, Chordata, Actinopteri, Cyprinodontiformes, Poeciliidae. The transcript is spliced from 4 exons. The record is from RefSeq and is a predicted model, not a curated record.